GAGGGUAUAGCUCAGUGGUAGAGUGUGUGCUUAGCAUGCAUAAGGUCCUGGGUUCACUCCCCAGUACCUCCA
This 72-nucleotide transfer RNA is filed under the name Camelus bactrianus (Bactrian camel). It matches the Rfam family "tRNA". Rfam says of the family: Transfer RNA (tRNA) molecules are approximately 80 nucleotides in length. Their secondary structure includes four short double-helical elements and three loops (D, anti-codon, and T loops). Lineage: Eukaryota; Metazoa; Chordata; Mammalia; Artiodactyla; Camelidae. The record is from Rfam by way of RNAcentral. RNAcentral also lists the same sequence under 1 other name.